CCAGAUAGUAAGUAAAACAUUUUCAUAUGUAUUUCCUUGGACAAAAGCAGAGGAACAGUUGGUAAUGAAGUGGGUAACACAGAGCAUAAUUAAACAAUACCUUCAAGAUAAAGUUAAAGAAUACCUUCCUUGGCAAUACAUGUAUCUACUUGCCAAGUUUUCUUUUUAUUCAGUGUUUGCAACGUCUUGGUCUCUAGUCCUCGGUUCUUUGUUAAAAAUAACGCAAACUCUCAUUGUUCUGACCUGAGAAAUGAUACCCAAAAGCAAGGGGAUUCUAUGUCUUUUUUUUUUUUUCCUUAUUCUUG
This 305-nucleotide long non-coding RNA is filed under the name Ricinus communis (castor bean). Its description in RNAcentral is "long non-coding RNA (RCOM_LNC002461)". Lineage: Eukaryota; Viridiplantae; Streptophyta; Magnoliopsida; Malpighiales; Euphorbiaceae. The record is from RNAcentral.